GAGGGUAUAGCUCAGUGGUAGAGCACAUGCUUAGCAUGCACAAAGUCCUGGGUUUGAUCCCCAGUACCUGCA
This 72-nucleotide transfer RNA is filed under the name Camelus ferus (Wild Bactrian camel). It matches the Rfam family "tRNA". Rfam says of the family: Transfer RNA (tRNA) molecules are approximately 80 nucleotides in length. The record is from Rfam by way of RNAcentral. Lineage: Eukaryota; Metazoa; Chordata; Mammalia; Artiodactyla; Camelidae.